Oncorhynchus tshawytscha (Chinook salmon) is the source of this 2438-nucleotide long non-coding RNA. The record is from Ensembl. NCBI's taxonomy places the organism in Eukaryota, Metazoa, Chordata, Actinopteri, Salmoniformes, Salmonidae.
GGAAGAGUGGUACUGGGAAGAGAGGAAGAGUGGUACUGGGAAGAGAAGAGUGGUACUGGGAAGAGAAGAAGAGUGGUACUGGGAAGAGAGAGAGUGGUACUGGGAAGAGAGGAAGAGUGGUACUGGGAAGAGAGGAAGAGUGGUACUGGGAAGAGAAGAAGAGUGGUACUGGAAAGAGAGGAAGAGUGGUACUGGAAAGAGUGGUACUGGAAAGAGAAGAAGAGUGGUACUGGAAAGAGUGGUACUGGGAAGAGAAGAAGAGUGGUACUGGAAAGAGAGGAAGAGUGGUACUGGGAAGAGAAGAAGAGUGGUACUGGAAAGAGAGGAAGAGUGGUACUGGGAAGAGAGGAAGAAUGGUACUGGAAAGAGAAGAAGAGUGGUACUGGAAAGAGUGGUACUGGGAAGAGAAGAAGAGUGGUACUGGGAAGAGAGGAAGAGUGGUACUGGAAAGAGUGGUACUGGGAAGAGAAGAAGAGUGGUACUGGAAAGAGAAGAAGAGUGGUACUGGGAAGAGAAGAAGAGUGGUACUGGGAAGAGAAGAAGAGUGGUACUGGAAAGAGUGGUACUGGGAAGAGAAGAAGAGUGGUACUGGGAAGAGAGGAAGAGUGGUACUGGAAAGAGUGGUACUGGGAAGAGAAGAAGAGUGGUACUGGAAAGAGAAGAAGAGUGGUACUGGAAAGAGAGGAAGAGUGGUACUGGAAAGAGAGGAAGAGUGGUACUGGGAAGAGAGGAAGAGUGGUACUGGGAAGAGAGGAAGAGUGGUACUGGGAAGAGAAGAAGAGUGGUACUGGGAAGAGAAGAAGAGUGGUACUGGGAAGAGAAGAAGAGUGGUACUGGGAAGAGAGGAAGAGUGGUACUGGAAAGAGAGGAAGAGUGGUACUGGGAAGAGAGGAAGAGUGGUACUGGAAAGAGAGGAAGAGUGGUACUGGAAAGAGGAAGAGUGGUACUGGAAAGAGAGGAAGAGUGGUACUGGAAAGAGAGGAAGAGUGGUACUGGGAAGAGAGGAAGAGUGGUACUGGGAAGAGUGGUACUGGGAAGAGAAGAAGAGUGGUACUGGAAAGAGAGGAAGAGUGGUACUGGGAAGAGAAGAAGAGUGGUACUGGAAAGAGAGGAAGAGUGGUACUGGGAAGAGAAGAAGAGUGGUACUGGGAAGAGAGGAAGAGUGGUACUGGAAAGAGAGGAAGAGUGGUACUGGGAAGAGAAGAAGAGUGGUACUGGAAAGAGAAGAAGAGUGGUACUGGAAAGAGAGGAAGAGUGGUACUGGGAAGAGAAGAAGAGUGGUACUGGAAAGAGUGGAAGAGUGGUACUGGAAAGAGAAGAAGAGUGGUACUGGAAAGAGAGGAAGAGUGGUACUGGAAAGAGAGGAAGAGUGGUACUGGAAAGAGAGGAAGAGUGGUACUGGAAAGAGAGGAAGAGUGGUACUGGGAAGAGAAGAAGAGUGGUACUGGGAAGAGAAGAAGAGUGGUACUGGAAAGAGAAGAAGAGUGGUACUGGAAAGAGAGGAAGAGUGGUACUGGGAAGAGAAGAAGAGUGGUACUGGGAAGAGUGGUACUGGGAAGAGAAGAAGAGUGGUACUGGAAAGAGUGGUACUGGGAAGAGAGGAAGAGUGGUACUGGAAAGAGAGGAAGAGUGGUACUGGGAAGAGAAGAAGAGUGGUACUGGGAAGAGUGGUACUGGGAAGAGAAGAAGAGUGGUACUGGAAAGAGAGGAAGAGUGGUACUGGAAAGAGAAGAAGAGUGGUACUGGAAAGAGUGGUACUGGGAAGAGAGGAAGAGUGGUACUGGAAAGAGAGGAAGAGUGGUACUGGAAAGAGAGGAAGAGUGGUACUGGGAAGAGAGGAAGAGUGGUACUGGAAAGAGAAGAAGAGUGGUACUGGGAAGAGAAGAAGAGUGGUACUGGAAAGAGUGGUACUGGGAAGAGAGGAAGAGUGGUACUGGGAAGAGAAGAAGAGUGGUACUGGGAAGAGAAGAAGAGUGGUACUGGGAAGAGAGGAAGAGUGGUACUGGGAAGAGAGGAAGAGUGGUACUGGGAAGAGAGGAAGAGUGGUACUGGGAAGAGUGGUACUGGGAAGAGAGGAAGAGUGGUACUGGGAAGAGAGGAAGAGUGGUACUGGAAAGAGAGGAAGAGUGGUACUGGGAAGAGUGGUACUGGGAAGAGAGGAAGAGUGGUACUGGAAAGAGAAGAAGAGUGGUACUGGGAAGAGAAGAAGAGUGGUACUGGAAAGAGAGGAAGAGUGGUACUGGAAAGAGAAGAAGAGUGGUACUGGAAAGAGAAGAAGAGUGGUACUGGAAAGAGAGGAAGAGUGGUACUGGAAAGAGAGGAAGAGUGGUACUGGAAAGAGAAGAAGAGUGGUACUGGAAAGAGAAGAAGAGUGGUACUGGAAAGAGAAGAAGAGUGGUACUGGAAAGAGAGAGAGUGGUACUGGGAAGAGAGGAAGA